CGGCUCGGGUCCUGCUCGGGUUUUCAGCUCUUUUCCCCCUGAAUUGGCUUCCUCCCGGGUCUGCUCACUAGGAAGCGCCCGAACCUCGGAGGCAGCCACGGGUCUCGCGACGCGGCGAAAACCGCUCCAGCAACUUUGAGCCAGCCCUGUCCGCAGCCUGCAAGUUUGAGGACUUCCCUUCCGGGCGGGAAGAUGCCCGAGGUUUUCCCAGGGGAAUUUCGGAAUUAAAAACUUUUAAAUGAAAGUAACGGUAUUCCCCCUCCACCCUGUCUCUUUCCUCCCGUGCCUUUCGGAUAAAGUAUGCAUUGCCAACUUCGCACCCGGCAGAGAUUUCACAUCGUCACUGUCCUGGCGUUAAAGUUCCCAGUCCGCCGAUCAGAGGGUGAAGCUGGCCCUUUGUGCUUAGGCCUUUGGGGAGACCCCGUUCCCCGUUCUCUCGGCGGCCAGUGGAGGCGCGCUGGUGUCACUGCCCCGCUCUGAGCACCCCCUCCCAGCCUGCAUCUGUCACUCGGAAUGUCGGCCUGUCACUCGGGGCAUACUGUUCUGGGACUGCCGGCCCCUGACUCUGCUGCUCAUUGAUCAACGCCUGGAGAUCCCAAGAAGGGCAGAGAAGAUUUCAAAGGCGUUCUUCCAACAGAAACGAGUAUCACAGAAAUAACAAAUGGCAGUCUUUACGAUGCUCAGUAGAGAAGGCACCAGGCACCACUCCCAGGCCACGUCAAUCAAACACUAAACUGAAUGUACUCCUUGGAUCGGUCUGGUUUUUGGAUAGUAUGCUUAGACCUCUAAGAAAUUACACAGGCUUUCCCUACCCCGAUUUUAAUCCUUAUAAAAUUAGGUUACAAUGAAUGCCAAGGGAUAUCCUGACUGGGUGAUGUAUUCCAUACUGUAGCAAGGGAGGUACAAGAAGGAGGGGGAGACCCCAUUUAUUGUGGUGGUCCCUAUCCCCUGCCCACCCUUCCUUCUGCCAGCCUCUGAGCACUCUGACAUCUUUGCCACUGCCAGCAUCAAGUUUAAAUGACCACUGCAAGCCUGCUUCAGUCUACCAGAUAAUUUGGCCUUUGGGAGACUUCUCUGCAGAGAGAGAGAGCAGAACCUUCCAGAAUGAAGACAGUGGGCCUUGGUAGGCCACCUUGGAGGAGGAGGAGGAUCUGGGAAGAGGGGAGCCCUAGGAGACAGGAAAAGAUGAAAGACCCCUUCUUGAUGAUCACAAUCAGCCCAGCUGUGAACACCAGCCAAGGACUCUUGCUCGGACCCACGCAGAUGUGUCUUCUAGAUGAUUAAUGGGGAAUCAGGAGCAAAGGGGAGGGGAGAGAGAGACAAAGGCAUGUAGGAAUUUGGAAGGAAUAGAGGGGCAGGAGGCAACAGAAAGAGGGGAGGAGAAUGCAGGGUGAUAAAAUAUUUACUGUCUUUUUGGGGAGGAAAGGCGAAGAAGGUAAGUAAUGAAUGAAAGUGGGGGAGUGGGGAGUGGGGGGCGGGAGAGGAGGAGGUGAGGACAAGGUGACCAGGCUUGGGGUGAAGGGUGGGGAGUUUGCCCAGGGAAUCACAUAUUGUCAUCAAAAAACCCUGCUCCCUUAGCUCACAGCUCAUCACUAGGAACUGGGGUUGCCAGACAGCACUUUGGUGGAGACUAGCUCUGUUUCCCUUCUCCUGGAAAAUGCUAGCAAGGGACUGGGCCGUGCUUCCUUUUGGGUUGCUGAUGAGCAAAGUGGGGUCCCUUUGGCUGGAUCCAUCCAAUCACCUUAAUUGGGAAAAUGGAAAAUCAUACUCAGCCAGGCCAGAGGCCUAAUUAAAAGAUGGUUGUUUAGUUA
Odocoileus virginianus texanus is the source of this 1811-nucleotide long non-coding RNA. RefSeq lists it as uncharacterized. Lineage: Eukaryota; Metazoa; Chordata; Mammalia; Artiodactyla; Cervidae. The record is from RefSeq and is a predicted model, not a curated record.